This is a long non-coding RNA of Daphnia pulicaria, 747 nucleotides long. RefSeq lists it as uncharacterized. NCBI's taxonomy places the organism in Eukaryota, Metazoa, Arthropoda, Branchiopoda, Diplostraca, Daphniidae. The record is from RefSeq and is a predicted model, not a curated record. The transcript has 3 exons.
CGUCAACCUAAAGAAGGAAAGGCCAGUUUGCAUUUUCUUCACUCUCGAAGGUCACGGAGAUCAUAACGUAAAACGUGUCAUGCAACGGGGUAGAGGUUGGGUGCGAACGGAACGUUUUUUCACCAUUAUUAAGUAGGUACAAUUGCUGCAAGGCUCGAGUUGAAAGGUAAGGGUGAGAACAAGUCGUAUAAAUUGCGAGAGAAAAGGCUGCAGAAAUUAGUCCAGUGAGCGUCUCCGACACGGCAACAACUGUAGGUGCAUCAUUGGUCACCAACUGCCGUCUUCAUCGUGUUAUUAGUAAUUAUGGUUAACUAUGACGUUGUGUUGCUGUUGGGUGUUCAUCGUUGAUGUCGACCACGAGAGAAAAUCUCAUUAAAGGAGAGAUAAAAGGAGAUAGAAAUCCGUAGAUAGAGUGAACGCCUCUGACAUGGGCACAACUGCAUCGUACUAAUUGUCACCAGCUGCCUUUUUCAUCUUAUCAGUUGGCAAUCAUGGUAAACUAUGCCGUUGUGGUUGUUGUGUCGUCGAUGGCUGGGUCGGCGACUGGUGUACCGAUGUCUCCUGCGCAUGGCGGAUACCAAACCGCAACGCCGCCGCCUUACUGCACGACAAACAUACGCAACAACCGGAUACUACACCACCAAGGCCCCAGAGUAGUACACAACGACUUAUGAUGUCCUAAACUACUACACCGAAGCCCCAAAAAAUAACUCUGCCCCGAGUUUCACCACCAAGGCAGCGGAGUAC